RNAcentral lists this long non-coding RNA (335 nucleotides) under Mytilus galloprovincialis (Mediterranean mussel). Lineage: Eukaryota; Metazoa; Mollusca; Bivalvia; Mytilida; Mytilidae. The record is from RNAcentral.
CAAGGAAAGGCCAAAAAUACAUCCGAAACCCUGAAAAGUAAAGACAAAUUCAAAAUGUUACGCUUAGAAAGAGGGAGUUAUAAACCUUACUUUAGUACAAUUACUAUAUCUAAUAAGUUGAGAAUCCACAACAGCAUUUACAAUCAUAGAUACUAUUUCUUGCAAUGACAAUACGCAAAAGAAGCCGACUUGCUUUAAAUAGUAAUUCUAUUACAGUAGUGCAAUUAUGCUAGUAUCGCGGAUAAUUGAUGAUCUUAUAGAGAGGAGGUAGGAAAAGCCAUCAUUUUGCUUAAUAAAUUGUGAAAUCUUGUUUUUUUUUAUAUUGAUAAUAGAAC